CAAGUCAGGAAUUUAUUGACCUGUGACUGCAAAUCUUAAACAUCAAACAUUCUUAAGAGGACAUUGUCAUUGUCCUUUAUCAGACCUCUUCUCGUCUGAAAGCAAGAUAAACAGCAGACCCCUUUCUGGCCAACAGAUAGAGUCAGAAAACAUCAAAGGAACAUGACUGUCCUCCUCAUCCUCACUGUCUGACUCAUCAUAGAAGUUGAUGGUGGCCUGCACGGGGAAGUUUCUGAGCAGAGCUUCGCCGUCACUGAAGAGGGAGAUAUUCCCAAAUAGUCCUGGUUGGGAAGAUUCGAUGGUGCUGUUGCUGGAAGAUAAGGAUGAAGCGUCGAGUCUUCGGCAGGUCAGUGAAUGAAUGAAGCAGAGUCGCUGCCGGGCUUUAUAUAAAGCC
Molecule: long non-coding RNA, 394 nt
Organism: Misgurnus anguillicaudatus (oriental weatherfish)
Lineage: Eukaryota; Metazoa; Chordata; Actinopteri; Cypriniformes; Cobitidae
Source: RefSeq, a predicted model, not a curated record